CCGGGACGCGGGGCGGGCGGUCGUACCGCGCUGCGGUGGGCGCGCUGUCCCCUCGCGGAGCUCGGGCUGGGAGUUCCCUGGCAAAAGCUCCGAAAAAUGCGUAGGUGGCAGAGGUGAGAGCAGGACCUGGCCUUCAGCAGGUACCUGCUUGCUGAAUGAGUGAAUGGAGUCCAGAGUCAGUGCCAGUAACUGGAAGAAGACCAGGCGUUCUACUGUAAAGAGCAAGGCUUUAUUCACAACUUCAACAGGGAAGCAAGAAAUACAGCAAGAACAUAGUUUGUGUCUGCAUCAGCACUAUUCCUGGCGACCCGACCAGAAAUCACAGUUAUGGGGUGAGAGAUUUGAGCUCAGGACUUACAUCCUGACGGGGCCACUAUGAGGGUUCCAUUCAGCACCUUCCCUGGCUGAGCACAAUCUACGCCGUGUUGUCCUGUC
Tupaia belangeri chinensis (Chinese tree shrew) is the source of this 435-nucleotide long non-coding RNA. RefSeq lists it as uncharacterized. NCBI's taxonomy places the organism in Eukaryota, Metazoa, Chordata, Mammalia, Scandentia, Tupaiidae. The record is from RefSeq and is a predicted model, not a curated record. The transcript has 3 exons.